CUCUUCCUACGGGGGGCAGCAGUAGGGAAUCUUCCACAAUGGACGAAAGUCUGAUGGAGCAACGCCGCGUGAGUGAAGAAGGGUUUCGGCUCGUAAAGCUCUGUUGGUAGUGAAGAAAGAUAGAGGUAGUAACUGGCCUUUAUUUGACGGUAAUUACUUAGAAAGUCACGGCUAACUACGUACCAGCAGCCACGGUAAUACGUAGGUGGCAAACGUUGUCCGGAUUUAUUGGGCGUAAAGCGAGUGCAGGCGGUUCAAUAAGUCU
RNAcentral lists this ribosomal RNA (265 nucleotides) under uncultured bacterium. RNAcentral's name for it is "partial 16S ribosomal RNA". It matches the Rfam family "Bacterial small subunit ribosomal RNA", at positions 333 to 590 of the family's 1533-position model. The record is from RNAcentral.